Molecule: long non-coding RNA, 247 nt
Filed under: Lathyrus oleraceus (garden pea)
Lineage: Eukaryota; Viridiplantae; Streptophyta; Magnoliopsida; Fabales; Fabaceae
Description: Pisum sativum (pea) long non-coding RNA (PSAT_LNC010921)
Source: RNAcentral
GGCCAUUAGCCAAAAUUCAUCAAUCAAGGCCUCUUUGGCAUUUUUAGGUUCUACUUGGGAAACAAAAGCGAAGUGAGAACAAAAAUUACUUAUCUUAGAACGAGUCAUUACUCCCUUUGAAAUAUCUCCCAAGAUGUUGUCGAUAGGAUGGUCUUUUGAAGAUUUCCAAGCUGGUGGAAGGUCAUUCACUUCAGCUGUCCUUUCUUCCUCAUCUUCUUCAUGACUAGUAUCUUCCUCCUUCUCAUGG